CCCUCCAGCAGGAAACCAGUGUAGUUAUGUUGUUUGUACUUGCCAGGAUACACUUCCAUUUCAUAUUUGCAAGUACACAUAAAGGUAUCCUUCAUCAGCAGCACAGUGCUUCCUUUCCUCUGAAUCUGCCAUCAGCUCAGGCAGAUUUCUAAGCAGCAAAUCAGCCUUUGCCAGAACACUGCAGGACACCAGUGCAGCGCCCAGCCUGCGACCAUGAGCUCGCCUGCACCCAGGUGAUUAAAAAGCUUUAUUGCUCACACAAAGCCUGUUUGGUGGUCUCUUCACAUGGACGCGAGUGACAUUUGGUGCCGUGACUCGGAUCGGGGAACCUCCCUUGGGAGAUCAAUCCCCUGUCCUCCUGCUCUUUGUUCCAAGAGAAAGAUCCACCUACGACCUCUGCUCCUCAGACCAACCAGCCCAAGGAACAUCUCACCAAUUUUAAAUCGGGUAAGUGGCCUGUCUUUACUCUCUUCUCCAAUCUCUCUCACUAUCCCUCAACCUCUUUCUCCUUUCAAUCUCGGCACCACACUUCAAUCUUUCCCUUCUCUUAAUUUCAAUUCCUUUCCUUUUUUGGUAGAGAUACGGGAGAUGUGUUUUAUCUGUGGACUCAAAACUCCAGUGCUGGUCACAGAUUCGGGAAGACAGUCUUCCCUUGGUGUUUAAUCACUGCAGAGAUGCCUGCCUGAUUAUUCACCCACAUUUCAUUGGUGUCUGAUCACCGUGGGGAUGCCUGCCUUGGUCAUUCACCCACAUUCCCUUAGUGGCAAGGCAAUUGUGGGGACACCUGCUUUGGCUGCUCACCCACAUUUGCAGCCCAGGGCUGCUCACCCAACCCCUUCUCUCCAUGUCUCUACCCUCUCUUUUCUCUCCACUUUCCUGGGGGGCAAGGACCCCCUACCCCUUCUCCACUUUCCUGGGGGGCAAGCACCCCCCACUCCUUCUCUCUGUGUCUCUACCCUCUCUUUUCUCUCCACUUCCCUGGGGGACAAACACCCCACCCCUUCCCCAUGUUCCUGGGGUGCAAGAACCCCCCACCCCUUCUCUCUGUGUCUCUACCCUCUCUUUUCUCUGGACUUGCCUCCUUCACUAUAGGCAAACUUCCACCCUCCAUUCCUCCUUCUUCUCCCUUAGCCUGUGUUCUCAAGAACUUAAAACCUCUUCAACUCACACCCGACUUAAAACCCAAAUGCCUUAUUUUCUUCUGCAAUGCCACUUAACCCCAAUACAAACUCGACAGUGGUUCCAAAGAGCCAUAAAAUGGCACUUUUGAUUUCUCCAUCCUACAACACCUAGAUAAUUUUUGUCGAAAAAUGGGCAAAUGGUCUGAGGUGCCUGACGUCCAGGCAUUCUUUUACACAUCGGUCCCUCGUCCCUCCCUAAUCUCUGUUCCCAAUGCAACUCAUCCCAAAUCUUCCUUCUUUCCCUCCUGCCUGUCCCCUCAGUUCCAACCCCAAGUGUCACUAAGUCUUUCCAAUCUUCCUUUUCUACGGACCCAUCUGACCUCUCCCCUCCUCCCCAGGCUGCUCCUAGCCAGGCCGAGCCAGUUCCAAUUCUCCCUUAGCCUCCGCUCCCCCACCCUAUAAUCCUUCUAUCACCUCCCCUCCUCACACCCAGUCCAGCUUCCAGUUUCGUUCUGCGACUAGCCCUCCCGGACCUGCCCAGCAAUUUCCUCUUAAAAAGGUGGCUGGAGCUAAAGGCAUAGUCAAGGUUAAUGCUCCUUUUUCUUUAUCCAACCUCUCCCAAAUCAGUUAGCGUUUAGGCUCUUUUUCAUCAAAUAUAAAAACCCAGCCCAGUUCAUGGCUUGUUUGGCAUCAACCCUGAGAUGCUUUACAGCCCUAGACCCUGAAAGGUCAAAAGGCCGUCUUAUUCUCAAUAUACGUUUUAUUACCCAAUCUGCUCCCAACAUUAAAUAAAACUCCAAAAAUUAAAUUCCGGCCCUCAAACCCCACAAUAGGAUUUAAUUAACCUUGCCUUCAAGGUGUACAAUAAUAGAGUAGAGUCAGCCAAGUAACAAUGUAUUUCUGAGUUGCAAUUCCUUGCCUCCACUGUGAGAGAAACCCCAGCCACAUCUCCAGCACACAAGAACUUCAAAAUGCCUAAGCCGCAGCAGUCAAGCAUUCCUAGAGGACCUUCUCCAUCAGGAUCUUGCUUCAAGUGCCAGAAAUCUGGCCACUGGGCCAAGGAAUGCCCACAGCCCGGGAUUCCUCCUAAGCUGUGUCCCAUCUGUGUGGGACCCCACUGAAAAUCAGACUGUCCAGCUCACCUGGCAGCCACUCCCAGAGCCCCUGGAACUCUGGCCCAAGGCUCUCUGAUUGACUUCUUCCCAGAUCUUCUGGGCUUAGUGGCUGAAGACUGACACUGCCCGAUCACCUGAGAAGCCUCCUGGACCAUCACAGAUGCUUUAGGCUCUAGGGGAUGGUAGAGUCACAGGAUGGAAGAACUCUGUGUCCUUGAAUCAUUGCAUGGAAGAGAACUGGAAGUUGCCCAGGAACACCAGCCUUGGACAGUUAUGUGAACAAGAAAUAAACUUCUUUUACAGUGUCAUUUAUGUUUUUGAGCAUCUUUGUUACAGCGGCUAGGUGUAUACUAAUUCAGGGAUUCUGUGAUAGCAAUAUUUCUUCUUCUUUUGAGUAGGUUUCCAAAACUUGAUUUUCCACAAUUCUGAAAUAUUUUGGUUCUGGGAUAAACUU
This 2690-nucleotide long non-coding RNA is filed under the name Homo sapiens (human). RNAcentral describes it as "non-protein coding lnc-IFIT2-1:8". The record is from RNAcentral. Lineage: Eukaryota; Metazoa; Chordata; Mammalia; Primates; Hominidae.